RNAcentral lists this ribosomal RNA (406 nucleotides) under uncultured bacterium. Its description in RNAcentral is "partial 16S ribosomal RNA". It matches the Rfam family "Bacterial small subunit ribosomal RNA", at positions 30 to 526 of the family's 1533-position model. The record is from RNAcentral.
AUUGAACGCUGGCGGCAUGCCUAACACAUGCAAGUCGAACGAGUGGCGGACGGGUGAGUAAUGUCUGGGAAACUGCCCGAUGGAGGGGGAUAACUACUGGAAACUGUCGCUGAUACCGCAUACCAUCGGAUGUUCCCAGAUGGGAUUAGCUAGUAGGUGGGGUAAGGGCUCACCUAGGCGACGAUCCCGAGCUGGUCUGAGAGGAUGACCGGCCCCAACGGAACGGGUAACCGGUCCCGUUUGCACCGGGAGGCAGCAGUGGGUCAUAUGGGACAAUGGGCUCAAGCCUGAUGCAGCCAUGCCGCGUGUAUGACGAAGGCCCGCGGGUUGUAAAGUACCUUCAGCGAGGAGGCGUUACUCGCAGAAGAAGCACCGGCUAACUCCGUGCCAGCAGCCGCGGUAAUUC